This 87-nucleotide transfer RNA is filed under the name Deltaproteobacteria bacterium. RNAcentral describes it as "tRNA-Ser". It matches the Rfam family "tRNA". Rfam says of the family: Transfer RNA (tRNA) molecules are approximately 80 nucleotides in length. Their secondary structure includes four short double-helical elements and three loops (D, anti-codon, and T loops). The record is from RNAcentral. Lineage: Bacteria; Pseudomonadati; Myxococcota; Myxococcia.
GGAGAGGUGGCUGAGUGGUUGAAAGCGCACGAUUGGAAAUCGUGUUUAGGAUAACACCUAACGAGGGUUCAAAUCCCUCUCUCUCCG